CACCGCGGUUACACGAGUAACUCAAAUUAAUAUUACACGGCGUUAAGGGUGAUUAGAAAAAUCUUACCCCAAAUAAAGUUGAGACCCCAUCAAGCUGUCAUACGCACUCAUGCUCAAAAGUAUCACUAACGAAAGUAACUUUAUCACAACAGAAUUUUUGACCUCACGACAGUUAAGGCC
This 180-nucleotide ribosomal RNA is filed under the name Gymnura poecilura (longtail butterfly ray). RNAcentral describes it as "partial 12S rRNA". Lineage: Eukaryota; Metazoa; Chordata; Chondrichthyes; Myliobatiformes; Gymnuridae. The record is from RNAcentral.